Molecule: ribosomal RNA, 812 nt
Filed under: uncultured bacterium
Lineage: Bacteria
Description: bacterial SSU rRNA
Rfam family: Bacterial small subunit ribosomal RNA
Source: RNAcentral
UCAACCAUAGUGUGNUCUGGAAACUGUCUGACUUGAGUGCAGAAGGGGAGAGUGGAAUUCCAUGUGUAGCGGUGAAANUGCGUAGAUAUAUGGAGGAACACCAGUGGCGAAAGCGGCUCUCUGGUCUNUCACUGACGCUGAGGCUCGAAAGCGUGGGUAGCGAACAGGAUUAGAUACCCUGGUAGUNCACGCCGUAAACGAUGAGUGCUAGGUGUUAGGCCCUUUCCGGGGCUUAGUGCCGGAGCUAACGCAAUAAGCACUCCGCCUGGGGAGUACGACCGCAAGGUUGAAACUCAAAGGAAUUGACGGGGGCCCGCACAAGCGGUGGAGCAUGUGGUUUAAUUCGAAGCAACGCGAAGAACCUUACCAGGUCUUGACAUCCCGAUGCUAUUCUUAGAGAUAGGAAGUUACUUCGGUACAUCGGAGACAGGUGGUGCAUGGUUGUCGUCAGCUCGUGUCGUGAGAUGUUGGGUUAAGUCCCGCAACGAGCGCAACCCUUAUUGUUAGUUGCCAUCAUUAAGUUGGGCACUCUAGCGAGACUGCCGGUAAUAAACCGGAGGAAGGUGGGGAUGACGUCAAAUCAUCAUGCCCCUUAUGACCUGGGCUACACACGUGCUACAAUGGUCGGUACAACGAGUUGCGAGCCGGUGACGGCAAGCUAAUCUCUGAAAGCCGAUCUCAGUUCGGAUUGGAGGCUGCAACUCGCCUCCAUGAAGUCGGAAUCGCUAGUAAUUGCGGAUCAGCACGCCGCGGUGAAUACGUUCCCGGGCCUUGUACACACCGCCCGUCACACCACGAGAGUUUGUAACACC